GGAGGUGGAGGGCAACAUGACAUGUAAACCCUCUCAUAUAAAAGAGAGAUGAUGACAGAGGAGAGGAGAGGAGGUGGAGGGCAACAUGACAUGAAAACCCUCUCAUCUAAAAGAGGGGAGGAAAGGGUUUUUUUUUAAAGAGAAGAGGAGAAGACAGGCUGAGGAGAUGAG
Molecule: long non-coding RNA, 171 nt
Organism: Lates calcarifer (barramundi perch)
Lineage: Eukaryota; Metazoa; Chordata; Actinopteri; Centropomidae
Exons: 3
Source: RefSeq, a predicted model, not a curated record